Long non-coding RNA from Gallus gallus (chicken), 1404 nucleotides. NCBI's taxonomy places the organism in Eukaryota, Metazoa, Chordata, Aves, Galliformes, Phasianidae. The record is from Ensembl.
GUACUGAGCAAGCUGCAGGAGAUCACCUUGGCUAUUGCAACAGUGCACAAGUAACUGCACAGUGAAAGUACACUAUUUACACAGACUUCAGAAUAAUAGAGUUAUAUAUUAAUCAAUGUGGUUUUGGAUAUCCUCUUAAACGUUUGAGAACUGUGACUUCAGUCAUGAUUAAUUGCUUGUGAUUUUGAAGUGAUUGUCUCAUUGUUGAUGAAAUCAGAUUCUUCUGCAGCAAAAUACUAUGCAUGCUCAUUUUAAAACAAAAUCUCUAAAGCUAAUCACUAUGAAGUAGUGCAUAACAUAAUAAUUUCAGAAGUAUCCACCUGUGUGGGAUUAGGAAUUGCCUGUUAUGUGCCUCUUAAGAAUACUAUCAAAACCUUAAAGCAAUUUAUGUAUUGUGUGUCUAUUAACAGGUUGACUGUUAAGUACCAUACCAAAUAGUAUUUGCUCUUAAAGUACCAUUUAUGUAAAAAAUAAUCCUUUAAAGCAAAACUGACCAGGUGGAACAUAAUUUAGAUGGUCUUUUUUGUCUUCAUCUUGUCAGAGGAACUGCUGUGUAACUCUCCUACUAUGAGAAUCUGGCGUGCAUACUUUAUACAGUUGAAUGUUGCAUCUGAAAUCAGUAGAGAUAACUGGGCUCAGGUUGCAAGUUGCCUGGGGAGAAGCAUUUUUUUAAGGCUAUCAUGAAUACUUCAGAAAUUUCAAGGUGAAUUGAAAAAAUGUAUUAAAAAAAAAAAAAACAACACAAUCUUUGGUAUAUAAAAAUAUGAAUGAAGUAUUUUAAUAGAAAGUAAUAUGAAUAUUACAAUACUUUGUUGGUAUACAUCUUAAAGGGUUGCAUAACCACCUUACCACUGAGUUUUGCUCUAGGUUGUUUCAACCUCUUGCUAUUCGUUAAUGUUUUACAUAAUUUGUCUGUGUUCCUGUUUGACAUAAAAAUCUAGGAUCAAUAAGUAGCCCAGCUAUUUGCUAGAGGACACAUUACUGUUUACUUACAAAGCUCUAGCAUUUUAGUCAUCUUAUUAGCUUCCUAGGAAUUAUUACACGCGUUUUGUAAUUGUAUUAUUUGAAGGCAAAUCUCUGAGGAAAACAAAGCAAAACAAUACCCUCUAAACUACCUGCAUUUUAUUCUCGGUCUCAUCAAAAUUUGCCAGUCUCACUAGUUUGCUGGGCCAGGUAUCCUGCCUGCCUCCUGAAAUAGAUGCCAGGUUGCUAUGUAGUCAGCAUUAUUUAUCUUUGAAUAAUGACGUCAGUUUGCCCAUAGUUGUACUAGACAGAGAACUUGUGUGUACUCAGUCUCCUGGUGCAAGUCAAUUCUUCACCAGCAGUAGCUGGUGGAAUUUUUUCUCCCUCGCAUGAUAUUAAAUCACAAUGAACCCAAUAAAAGUUCACUGGAAACUUUGGAAU